RNAcentral lists this small RNA (66 nucleotides) under Sinorhizobium meliloti 2011. Its description in RNAcentral is "putative ncRNA". Lineage: Bacteria; Pseudomonadati; Pseudomonadota; Alphaproteobacteria; Hyphomicrobiales; Rhizobiaceae. The record is from RNAcentral.
ACGAGAUUCUGGUCGAUCGCAAUUUUCAGGAGCGCGGCGAUGUUCUCGCUUUCGUCGCUGCUUUGC